AUGUCCCCAUGAGUUCCCUUUAACGCUUCAUUGUUAAUACUCUCUUUUUUUUAGUCAUUGUUAAUACUCAAAACCACAUUUAUUUUCUUAAACGUUUGGUCAGUUUUGUAUGUAACACUGAAGUGUUUGGGGGGACUCUUGGUGCCAU
RNAcentral lists this microRNA precursor (148 nucleotides) under Brassica napus (rape). Its description in RNAcentral is "mir-395 microRNA precursor family". It matches the Rfam family "mir-395 microRNA precursor family". Rfam says of the family: mir-395 was identified in both Arabidopsis thaliana and Oryza sativa computationally and was later experimentally verified. mir-395 is thought to target mRNAs coding for ATP sulphurylases. Lineage: Eukaryota; Viridiplantae; Streptophyta; Magnoliopsida; Brassicales; Brassicaceae. The record is from Rfam by way of RNAcentral.